GUUAGUCUUUUUCAGUUGCUGAAAAUUAGACAAAUUGAAUUUUCUAAAUAUCAGUUUAAAGUUUGCUGUAUGGUCAGUCUGAAUUUGCAAAUCGCCAACUAAAGUGAUCCCAUACCAUUUAUCAUAUGAUCAGCAUGUUCUAACUUUGUUUGAACAAAAAGAAAAAGGGCAUAAAAGAUGCGAGGAGGUCCAAGUGCUGGUUUCUGGUGCCGACAGUCCUGUCAAUCCACCACAGUAUCACACCAAACAUGAUAGAAAUGAUGCAAAUAAAAAAUGAAGUGAAACACUUGGGCUUCUCACUUUAAAAAGGUGGAAUUUGUAAAAUAAGCAACAAAAAAGCUGAGUGCCAGGGAAAAAAUAACAGUUUUUGCAUGUUUCUUUGACAAUCAAUAAACAAAACUUGAAGUCAUUGAGCCACUAAUGCAAAGCAAAUUCCCAGAAGACUACCCCAGCUGAAAGUAGCAAUCAUAAUUUCUCUUGGUGUUUGGUUGUAAUCUAUUGUAACAAUAUAUGUACUUUUCUAAACAGAUAUAUAUAAAAUUUGACCUGCGGGGGGUAAGACAGCCCCCGGGCAUUGCAUUUAAGAAGAAGACCUUCUCACGCAGGUCAAGAAAACCCCCGAACCCCUGCCCCAUCCUUACACAGAUAUAUAUGUCUCUGUAUUUUUUUGUCUUAGCAUCAUAAUAAAAAUGUUAUUCCUCAUAGACCAAGUGAUCUGUUCUACCCGGCCGGCAGUGGCAAAAUGAUCUAAAUUUGCAACGGUCAACUUGGCUAUCAGUGAGCCAAUCAGAGUCAAUUUAGUCACUACCAUAUUUUAUUUUGUUUUCUGAGUCAUCCAUGACAUGGGUUACUUUUUUUAGGAUGUAUCACAUGCUAGUAUUUUUGCUUUAACGAGUGCAGACAGCUUGCACUGACGACCCAGCCUUUCUGACUGGUUCAUUUUAACGAAAUGUGCCUGUUUUUUUAGCAUGGUGGCACUGGGAUCAUUAUUUUAGGAAACAUGAAGAUCUGAUUUUGAUUUUGAUAAGACCAGAUGGAUGAUCAUUGCUGCUGCAGCAGCACCUGCAAUCUCUUUUGAAGUGCAGUAGAUCUGAAAAGCGUGGAUGAUAUGAGCAGCAGCAUUCAGUGGGGGCCCGGGGCAUCUGGUUGCAAGGUUGGAGAUGGGUACAAUGAUUGCUGGUUUGCAGUAGAUGAGGUGGGCGAGCCUUAGAAGGCUAGUAACAUCAGAGCUGUACACACACACACACACAGUAGCAGGAAGCAGCUAGCCUAGGUGGUGUACCAUGGGAUUCGUUCCUGCUAGUUGCUGGGCACAUGAUUCUUCAUGCAUGCACAAGCCCAAGAAGAGGGGCAUGCACUCGGUACGACCUUUAUAUGAUGGUGUACGUCCUUGAUACAGAGAGGCAUGUAAAGAUACAGUACAUCUAACUAGAAGUGAGAUUGUUUGCAUCAAUUAGCUAGUGGCUGCCAAGGGGUCGUCGGCUGGAAUGGAAGAAGCUAAGAGCGCAUCCACCCACAGCUAGCCAACACUGAACAUCGACAUCGGUGCUCUCAACUAGCUCUAAAAAGUUUGGUCGGCCACAUUGGACCUGCUAGCUGAUCUACAAGGUUACAAGGAGUCGAGGACAAGCAAAAAGGUACAGCCUGAUCCCUCAACAACCUCACCAAACCUAUAUAUAUGCAGCGUAGGUGGCACGGCACGGCCGACAAAUAAUAAUUCAGUAUAUCUGAAUGAUUGAAUCCAUAUA
Long non-coding RNA from Panicum virgatum (switchgrass), 1748 nucleotides. RefSeq lists it as uncharacterized. The record is from RefSeq and is a predicted model, not a curated record. The transcript has 2 exons. NCBI's taxonomy places the organism in Eukaryota, Viridiplantae, Streptophyta, Magnoliopsida, Poales, Poaceae.